GAUGAACGCUGGCGGCGUGCCUAAUACAUGCAAGUCGAGCGAACGGACGAGAAGCUUGCUUCUCUGAUGUUAGCGGCGGACGGGUGAGUAACACGUGGAUAACCUACCUAUAAGACUGGGAUAACUUCGGGAAACCGGAGCUAAUACCAGAUAAUAUUUUGAACCGCAUGGUUCAAAAGUGAAAGACGGUCUUGCUGUCUCUUAUAGAUGGAUCCGCGCUGCAUUAGCUAGUUGGUAAGGUAACGGCUUACCAAGGCAACGAUGCAUAGCCGACCUGAGAGGGUGAUCGGCCACACUGGAACGGAGACACGGUCCAGACUCCUACGGGAGGCAGCAGUAUGGAAUCUUCCGCAAUGGGCGGAAGCCUGACGGAGCAACGCCGCGUGAGUGAUGAAGGUCUUCGGAGCGUAAAACUCUGUUAUUAGGGAAGAACAUAUGUGUAAGUAACUGUGCACAUCUUGACGGUACCUAAUCAGAAAGCCACGGCUAACUACGUG
This 497-nucleotide ribosomal RNA is filed under the name uncultured bacterium. RNAcentral's name for it is "partial 16S ribosomal RNA". It matches the Rfam family "Bacterial small subunit ribosomal RNA", at positions 28 to 507 of the family's 1533-position model. The record is from RNAcentral.